CCUACGGGAGGCAGCAGUGAGGAAUAUUGGUCAAUGGGCGGAAGCCUGAACCAGCCAAGUCGCGUGCAGGAUGACGGCCCUACGGGUUGUAAACUGCUUUUAUACGGGAAUAACGCGCCUUACGUGUAGGGCUUUGCAUGUACCGUAUGAAUAAGGACCGGCUAGUUCCGUUCCAGCAGCCGCGGUAAUACGGAAGGUCCGGGCGUUAUCCGGAUUUAUUGGGUUUAAAGGGAGCGUAGGCCGCAUGUCAAGCGUGCUGUGAAAUGUCCGGGCUCAACCCGGGCCGUGCAGCGGGAACUGGCGGGCUUGAGUCCGCGGAAGGCAGGCGGAAUUCGUCGUGUAGCGGUGAAAUGCUUAGAUAUGACGAAGAACCCCGAUGGCGAAGGCAGCUUGCUGCAGCGGAACUGACGCUGAUGCUCGAAAGCGCGGGUAUCGAACAGGAUUAGAUACCCUUGUAGUC
Molecule: ribosomal RNA, 460 nt
Filed under: uncultured bacterium
Lineage: Bacteria
Description: partial 16S ribosomal RNA
Rfam family: Bacterial small subunit ribosomal RNA
Source: RNAcentral